Molecule: long non-coding RNA, 712 nt
Organism: Prionailurus viverrinus (fishing cat)
Lineage: Eukaryota; Metazoa; Chordata; Mammalia; Carnivora; Felidae
Exons: 3
Source: RefSeq, a predicted model, not a curated record
AAACAAACACAUUUUGGAAGACUACUGACCAGUAGCCAGAAGGAAGGUCCUGAGUCAUCGAAGUGUUCUCCAGCUGGCAAAGGAGUAUGAAAACCCCCUGGCCAGAUCUGUCCUUGCUGGAGCAUCGAGAAUAAAGUACGAUUACGAUACCAAAAUCUACAAAAUGUGAAAGAGUAAAGGAAAACUAUCAGAUGAGAACCAAUUAUUUUUAUUCCAGAGAUAUAGUCCAUGACGUCCGGGAUGGUUGGUCGACUGGUGCACUCCUGUAUCCUUGCGCAAUGCACGUACUCACCAGGUACUUCCAUAAGAAGACUAAAUCACUACUUCGUAAGUAUUUGAGAGAAUACGCUUGAGAAAAUACAUUUCCUGCCAUAUAUUGUAUGAAAGCCUACUGUGCAGAGUCAGGAAUCUGGAUUCUGAUUUUGACUGGGCCUCCCAUGAACUGGACCUUAGAAGAGGUUCCACUUCUGAGCCUUAUUUUCUUAAUCUUUAAAACCUAUCUCUCAGAGCUAUUACAGUGUUGAAAUAUAAGGUUAUUUCAGGGAGUGCAGUCCCAUGUUUGCACAAAGAAGGAAUUUAAUCACCCCUUUUACAAGCCACCCCCCACCCCCCCGCCCCGCCACUGCCCCACAGCCCAUAUACUCCCAAUUAAGGUUUUAUACCAACCUUACCUUAAGAACAUUAGGUUCCACUUGAAACAUUUUUUUGUAAA